GCCUCCAGUGAAUAUCGAUGCAGAGCUUUACAAAAACCCUAACAACCAAACCCUAUCAUUUUCGUAAGUUCGAAUCCAAAAACUCUCACCUUUCCAUCGCGAGAACCAAAUCCACUGAAACUCCAAUCAAAGCGAAACUGGAAGAACUGAUUUACCUAGAAGUUGUUUCUCAUCUCCUGCAAAUCAAACAAACAAACGACCUUAAGAUUCAUAAGAGAAGCCCAAACUUGAACAACUAAACAGGAAGAAUAGAUGAUACCCUAACUUCUAUAUUCAAUUGGGUUCCUAUUCUUCCUUCACGAAGUCAAUUUUCAUCCGUGUUGUUGAUUCAGGUCUAGUACUUCCUCAAUUCUUUUAAAGAUUUGGUUUUUCUUCGUGUUUAAGAAAGAGAAUUGAAUUUUAAUUGAAUUUCCAUUUAGUAUUUUUUUUUGUUCGAAUUUCAUUGAAGAGAAAUGGAGAAAAGGUUUUGAAGUAGUUUUUAAUCAAUACUCUGAUUCCUCUUUAUCAUCACUUCCUAGAUAAACCUCGAGAUUUUGGUACUAAUUUCUUACAUUUUCUGUUCAAUUCGUAUCUUUCACACCUCUUUGAUAUAUAAUUAUAGUGAAGGGAAGUUGUAUUUUUGGAUAUCUAUGUUCUGGUGCAAGUCAUUAGAACUGAGUUUUAGCUUAAACUAAUAAAAGUGACACAAGUUCAGGAAUCCUUGUUAUGUACUCAGUAAUGAAAGAUAUGAAAGAUUUAUGACACUAGUUGAAAAUGAGGUAUGGGAGUUGUGUCCGUCCAAAAUGUUGUAAUUUCCUGACUAAUUCACAUAUAUUGUUGUCUUAGCUUCUAUUGCUAUGAGGUUAUUUGCCCGGUCAUCAAUUUGAUGUUGGUGGAUCUUAUUUCCGAGCUACGUUCUGUAUUAUGAGACCUAAUUAUCUUAGUUUUUUGUAGGAUUCUGUAGGUUGGUAAAUGAUGGCACAUUCUUUUUAAACAGCGUAACAAUAUUAGCCAUCAAAAUCAGUUGAUGUGCUUACCAUGAUUGUUAGUUAGUUUUGCCCGUCAACUGUAGUUGUUAGGUGCCUACUGACUAGCAUAUUUCAUUUCGAGAGAGUUUUUUGUUGGGUGAACUAGGACCUACCGUAUGGCAUUUGACAUUAGCAUCUUCUAAGGUUAACUAUUCAUUUGAGGAAACUCUAAACUUGAUUAAUCCUAUAGCGUGUGAAUGCCAGUGGUCAAAUGGGUUGGUUCUUGCGUGUCCAUUCAAAAAGCUCUUCUGGAAAUAUUUUCUUUUGGAGCUAUAACGAAGUUCUGAAUAUAUGUCGGCCUUGUGCCCACUAGCCGUUGAAGAAUGACCUUGUGCACCAUUGUCGGUUGAUACUUUUCAUGGACAACAAGGGUACUUCUGGGGUUCCGAAACCAUCCCCGAUCACAACAUUAGAUGCUCAACAGGCUGAAGCUAAAUGCUCUUCUUGCAAGAAUCAUAUGCUCAACAGGUUGAAGAAUGACCUUGUGCACCAUUGUCGGUUGAUACUUUUCAUGGACAACAAGGGUACUUCUGGGGUUCCGAAACCAUCCCCGAUCACAACAUUAGAUGCUCCAACAGGCUGAAGCUAAAUGCUCUUCUUGCAAGAAUCAUAUGCUCAACAGGUUGAAGAAUGACCUUGUGCACCAUUGUCGGUUGAUACUUUUCAUGGACAACAAGAAACCAUCCCCGAUCACAACAUUAGAUGCUCAACAGGCUGAAGCUAAAUGCUCUUCUUGCAAGAAUCAUAUGCACUAGAGAGAUGGUACUAAUCCAAAACAUUGGAGAUUGAAGCUGUUAUCCGUCGAUGGUUCUCAGUCUGGUGCCAAGUGGACUACCAAUCUUGUAAUAGUUGAUUGUAAAUUUUAUUCAAGUCUUUUCCAGUUAUAUUCUUAUAAGUUUGUUGAUAGGUCUUGUAACCUUAUGGUCCUUGACGAAUGGUCCUCCUCCUGGCAUUUUGCUCAUGUUAAAGGAGCAUGAGGCCUGUCAUGUAAAUCUUUACUACACUUUAUUAUUCAAAUAAUAAUAAUAUGCUUCCAU
Molecule: long non-coding RNA, 2044 nt
Organism: Papaver somniferum (opium poppy)
Lineage: Eukaryota; Viridiplantae; Streptophyta; Magnoliopsida; Ranunculales; Papaveraceae
Exons: 5
Source: RefSeq, a predicted model, not a curated record